This is a non-coding RNA of Anolis sagrei ordinatus, 1501 nucleotides long. NCBI's taxonomy places the organism in Eukaryota, Metazoa, Chordata, Lepidosauria, Squamata, Anolidae. The record is from RefSeq and is a predicted model, not a curated record.
CACCAUUUGUAACAAUACUUGGAAAAUAAUCCAGGUUCCUGGUUUGAAAGUGUUAUUCUUGUUUCAUGGUGCAAUGCUUACUUCGAAAGGAGUGCUUCUACUCCGGAAACUUUGUUGUGAGAUUGCAAAACUAAAGCCAGAUGUGCUUGAGCAUAAUGUCCCCUUGAAACAAAAUAUAAUAAACUUUUCCCCAUGUUUUUGUGACAGAAUCCAUUCAGAAAUGGCAUUUAUAACCCAUUUAUAACCCGAUGUGUUCCAGAGUGUAAUAUAUUGUAAUAAUAAUAAUAAUAUUAUAUAAUGUUAUCCUUGCCCCAAGGAGAAGGAGAAGACGAGAAGAAGAUGAAAGAGGUGAAGGAGAUGAAGUGUUUGACUCUGAGAAGAAGGGAAAAAAGAAGGAAAGGAAAGAGAAGGAGAAGAAAUGUUUGACCCAAAGGAAAAGGAGAAGAAGGUGAAGAAGGAGAAAGAGAGGAAGAGGAGACAAAGUGUUUGACCCUGAGAAGGAGGAAAGGAAGGAGAAGUGUUUGACCCCAAGAGGAAGGAGAAGAAAGAGGAAAGGAAGGAGAAGAAGAAGGGUUUGACCUCAAGAAGAAGGAGAAGGAGAAAAGGAAGGAGAAGGAGAAGAAGUGUUUGACCCCGAGAAGAAGGAGAAAAAAGGAAAGAGAAGGAGAAGAAAUGCUUGACCCAAAGGAAAACAAGAAGAAGGUGAAAAAGGAGAAAGAGAGGAAGAGAAGGAGAAAAAGUGUUUGACCCUGAGAAGGAGGAAAGGAAGGAGAAGUGUUUGACCCCAAGAGGAAGGAGAAGGAGUAGGAAAGGAAGGAGAAGGAGAAGAAGUGUUUGACCCUGAGAAGAAGGAGAAAAAAAAGGAAAGGAAAGAGAAGGUGAUGUUUGACCCAAAGAAAAUGGAGAAGAAGGUGAAGAAGGAGAAAGAAAGGAAGAGAAGGAGAAGAAAUCUUUGACCAAGAGCAGGAAAGGAAGGAGAAGAAGCGUUCGACCCCAAGAAGAAGGAGAUGAAGGAAGAAAGGAAGGAGAAGGAGAAGAAGUGUUUGACCACAAGAGGAAGGAGAAGAAAGAGGAAGAGAAGAAGGAGAGAAGAAGUGGGAGAAGGAGAAUUCGACCUCAAGAAGAAGGAGAAGAAGGAAAGGAGAAGAAGUGUUUGACCCCAAGAAGGAAAAGGAGGGAGAGGAGAAGGAGAAGUGCUUGACCUUGAAGGGAAUGCUUGACCACUAAGGAGGAGAAGGAGCGCUUAUAACAAAGGAGGAGAGGAAGUGCUUGACUGCCAAGAGGAACUCCUUGACCGCCAAGGAGGAGCAAAGGCAUUCUGGAAGGACAAGACCGUAAUGAUGCAGAUUUUGGGGGCAGCGGUCUCUUUGGGGACGAUGGCCUACAGCAGCUACUACUUUUACAACAACCCCCCUUUGUGAAAUGGGACGCCGUUCUCACCUGGCCGCAGCUCUUGACUUCAUCUGGAUUUUGAGCCGCUAACGGAAAUAAAACAAUUUUA